CGCUGGCGGAAUGCUUACACAUGCAAGUCGAACGGCAGCACGGGAGCUUGCUCCUGGUGGCGAGUGGCGAACGGGUGAGUAAUGCAUCGGAACGUACCUAUGAGUGGGGGAUAACUAUCCGAAAGGAUAGCUAAUACCGCAUACGCCCUGAGGGGGAAAGCGGGGGAUCGUAAGACCUCGCGCUGAUAGAGCGGCCGAUGUUCGAUUAGCUAGUUGGUGGGGUAAAGGCUCACCAAGGCGACGAUCGAUAGCUGGUCUGAGAGGAUGAUCAGCCACACUGGAACUGAGACACGGUCCAGACUCCUACGGGAGGCAGCAGUGGGGAAUUUUGGACAAUGGGGGCAACCCUGAUCCAGCCAUUCCGCGUGAGUGAAGAAGGCCUUCGGGUUGUAAAGCUCUUUCGGCAGGAACGAAACGGCCAUUACUAAUACUAGUGGUCAAUGACGGUACCUGAAGAAGAAGCACCGGCUAACUACGUGCCAGCAGCCGCGGUAAUACGUAGGGUGCGAGCGUUAAUCGGAAUUACUGGGCGUAAAGCGUGCACAGGCGGUUUUGUAAG
Molecule: ribosomal RNA, 559 nt
Filed under: uncultured beta proteobacterium
Lineage: Bacteria; Pseudomonadati; Pseudomonadota; Betaproteobacteria
Description: bacterial SSU rRNA
Rfam family: Bacterial small subunit ribosomal RNA
Source: RNAcentral